RNAcentral lists this ribosomal RNA (309 nucleotides) under Triticum aestivum (bread wheat). Its description in RNAcentral is "partial small subunit ribosomal RNA". The record is from RNAcentral. Lineage: Eukaryota; Viridiplantae; Streptophyta; Magnoliopsida; Poales; Poaceae.
AUGCAUGAUGUGGUCUGUGUUCUUGCUCUAUCAAAAUCGAAAGAGGAGAUGUUUUCUGUUGUUGAUGACUACUCAAAAAUAACCUCUUUACUUGGCAAAGCACGAAGGAUGUCAAUUCAAAGUGUUGAUUCUGCGCUUUCAAGACAUGAGAUGACACAUGUGCGCUCGCUACUUGUACUGGACAAAUGUGUCCCUAUAGAUGCUCUAAGUGCUUCACUCACAUCACUCAAGUUGUUGUCAGUUUUGGACCUACAUGGCAUUCCAAUAAAAAUUAUACCUGUUCAAGUGUUCAACCUGUUUAAUCUGUGA